This is a long non-coding RNA of Carassius auratus (goldfish), 1121 nucleotides long. RefSeq lists it as uncharacterized. NCBI's taxonomy places the organism in Eukaryota, Metazoa, Chordata, Actinopteri, Cypriniformes, Cyprinidae. The transcript has 3 exons. The record is from RefSeq and is a predicted model, not a curated record.
CAAGCCGGCACAAACACACAAGAGUGAUCCCUAAUCACCGGCGCACUGGAGGCGUGUCUGUCGGUGUCAGACAGCCACUGAGUGAGAUAUGCUGAAAUGUUUCCCUGGAGGAGUUCUACAGGAGCAUGCGAUAGGCUACCUGUCCGCUCCGUUGCCGGGUGUGUGCUGAGGUGUUCCCGCUCAUCCUCAUUACGGAAAAGUGGAUUUCAUGCAUCAUAAAUCAAGGACAAGACGAGGAUGCCAUCCUGAGGAGGUGCUGGCACACAUAGAGAAGACUGAACUGAUAUAAACAGUGAGCGAUCUGUUCUGCAUGCUAGUGCUGCUUUCCCUGAGACUUGAACAAUUUUGCUUUAGGCUAAAGUUAACUCAAAGUGUAACUCUGAACAUUGUGAAUCCCUGUCAGUGCUGUCCAAGCCCACAUCUCCUUGUGUGCAAGCCUAGACAUGUAGACUCACACCUGUUCCUUUAUCAAGAUUCAAGGGAUGAUCCAUUGACUGCGUCCAAAAGCUGAGAAAUGCUGCCUUCACAGGUGGUAUAUGGUGGUAUAUAGGGAAACGUUACAUCCUGUCUACUAAGAUGCCUUCGUGUUGUUGGUUUCUCAAGGCAGUAUAGACCUUUCACUGCCUAUGAUAUUCUAUACCCUGUGUGUUCGCACAGGGUAUAGACACAUAAAUUAGCAGCUGAAGGACUGUCAUUUAAAUUUUUUUUUACUCAUUGCUAGACUCUCGUUUUUUUAUAUGCUGUUACUGAGGUGGUACCCUUUCUAAACAUACUUAUAUGUACAAUUUAGGUCCAAAGGAGUACCUAUAAGGUACUAAAAUGCACUCUUUAGGGGUAAAUAAGAUUCAGAGGUGUACCCUUUUGAAAGGCAUCAAUCCCAGCGGUACCUUUUUUAUGCGUGUCUUUUUCUGAGAAUGUACUGAGAAAUAAGCUCGGUUCUCUAUACAUUUGGCUUGAAUUGGUUUUAGAUUAACAAAUAUUUUUGAGUGAUAUUGGCUUUUUUACCGUAAUUGUGUGUUUUUUUUUUCUUCAACAUUUUCUUUGUUGUGAUGCAUGUAUUUACUUAUACCAUUUUAAAUAAUUCAUUUAUUUUUUUUAAUUGUUUUUUAAUUUUAUUUUAA